This is a long non-coding RNA of Astyanax mexicanus (Mexican tetra), 1153 nucleotides long. RefSeq lists it as uncharacterized. Lineage: Eukaryota; Metazoa; Chordata; Actinopteri; Characiformes; Acestrorhamphidae. The transcript has 6 exons. The record is from RefSeq and is a predicted model, not a curated record.
UUCCUGUGGGGUCAAGCAGCCGUCGUGAGAAGAAGGAUUUUCUGCAAUAAAGUGAGAAAAAGUUGGAUUUACGUGAAAAAACUGCAGUUUUAGCAAGAAAAGCCCUCGUCUGCUUAAAACGCUGAGCUGUUGGGCCUGGGAAGCACUUUGUGGCGAGCGGGGCUCGUUAAAAGCCGGGGAAUCUCUGGUUUUCGCAUUGGAGAGUCUCCCUGAACUUCGACCCUGAAAGCUGCCCAGGAGUGCCAUGGACAACACUGAUCUGCCCUUUUUGUUGUUGCUGAGCUUCAAGUCCUCAUCUUCAGAGAGUGUCACGUGUGUACCAGGUAUGCGUAACAGGAAGUAUUACAGUGGCAGGACUGACAACUUGAACAGAGACUGCACAUGUACCACAGCCUUCCAAGAUUACAGCUACCUUCACUGAACUAAUUCCCAUGAUUUAGGAUCGUCCUUUUUUGGACCCUCUGCAUUGGAACCACCAGCAGAUCCUGGAGUUUGAAUUUCCCCUCCUGAACCUUCAUGGUGCACUCCUGCAGGAACACAAGAAACAGGAGUUCAAAGUAGCACAGACAGUAGUUCCAGAGAGAAGAGGAGAAAGAGGAGGUGGAGAAUGAGAAGAUGACAGCAGUAGCUCACGUUCCUGCACUGUCCUAAGAAGCAGAGUGGGAGCUCCAUAUGUGCCUCUGGGUCCGCUCAGAGCAACUGGGACUUCUGCAGAGCCGCUCUGGUAAAUAGGUCACUGCUAACUCUUUACAUAGCUCCAGUAUAGCUCCACUAAAUUUAGAAGAUUUUAGGGAAGAUGUUUGGCUUGGAGCGACGAUGUCUCAUCCAGUGCCAGUUUUUCUUUCGUCAGAUAAUUCAGACACACGCGGUGAGCGGCAUUAGGACAAAGGAGAAUUCUGACAUCCUCUGGAGCUGGAUCAUCGCCAGCUAUCAGACUGUUUAAACAUCAUCCUAGAGUCGAUAAGUCUGCACAGCAGGAACUUGAUUAAGACAAAACUGCAUCGCACUGCCUCGAGUGCACUUGAGCAGAUUCAAUGAUUUAUGGAUAAGAGGCGGGCUGUAUCUCCACUGAGCUGAUAAAGCUAAUGAGUUUGAUCAGGGGCACGAGGAGGACAGGGCAGGAGAGGCUGAAGGUAAGAGAGCUUACCUCCAC